This 386-nucleotide ribosomal RNA is filed under the name uncultured bacterium. Its description in RNAcentral is "bacterial SSU rRNA". It matches the Rfam family "Bacterial small subunit ribosomal RNA", at positions 30 to 416 of the family's 1533-position model. The record is from RNAcentral.
AUUGAACGCUGGCGGCAUGCCUUACACAUGCAAGUCGAACGGCAGCACGGGGGCAACCCUGGUGGCGAGUGGCGAACGGGUGAGUAACAUAUCGGAACAUACCCUAGAGUGGGGGAUAACGUAGCGAAAGUUACGCUAAUACCGCAUACGAUCUAAGGAUGAAAGUGGGGGAUCUUCGGACCUCAUGCUCAUGGAGUGGCCGAUAUCUGAUUAGCUAGUUGGUGAGGUAAAGGCUCACCAAGGCGACGAUCAGUAGCUGGUUUGAGAGAACGACCAGCCACACUGGAACUGAGACACGGUCCAGACUCCUACGGAGGCAGCAGUGGGGAAUUUUGGGACAAUGGGGGCAACCCUGAUCCAGCAAUGCCGCGUGAGUGAAGAAGGCC